GAUGAACGCUGGCGGCGUGCCUAAUACAUGCAAGUCGAGCGAACAGACGAGGAGCUUGCUCCUCUGACGUUAGCGGCGGACGGGUGAGUAACACGUGGAUAACCUACCUAUAAGACUGGGAUAACUUCGGGAAACCGGAGCUAAUACCGGAUAAUAUAUUGAACCGCAUGGUUCAAUAGUGAAAGACGGUUUUGCUGUCACUUAUAGAUGGAUCCGCGCCGCAUUAGCUAGUUGGUAAGGUAACGGCUUACCAAGGCAACGAUGCGUAGCCGACCUGAGAGGGUGGUCGGCCAGACUGGAACUGAGACACGGUCCAGACUCCUACGGGAGGCAGCAGUAGGGAAUCUUCCGCAAUGGGCGAAAGCCUGACGGAGCAACGCCGCGUGAGUGAUGAAGGUCUUCGGAUCGUAAAACUCUGUUAUUAGGGAAGAACAAAUGUGUAAGUAACUAUGCACGUCUUGACGGUACCUAAUCAGAAAGCCACGGCUAACUACGUG
Molecule: ribosomal RNA, 497 nt
Filed under: uncultured bacterium
Lineage: Bacteria
Description: partial 16S ribosomal RNA
Rfam family: Bacterial small subunit ribosomal RNA
Source: RNAcentral